CAGCCGCCACGGUAAUACGGAGGGUGCAAGCGUUAAUCGGAAUUACUGGGCGUAAAGCGCACGCAGGCGGUCUGUUAAGUCAGAUGUGAAAUCCCCGGGCUUAACCUGGGAACUGCAUUUGAAACUGGCAGGCUUGAGUCUUGUAGAGGGGGGUAGAAUUCCAGGUGUAGCGGUGAAAUGCGUAGAGAUCUGGAGGAAUACCGGUGGCGAAGGCGGCCCCCUGGACAAAGACUGACGCUCAGGUGCGAAAGCGUGGGGAGCAAACAGGAUUAGAUACCCGCGUAGUCCCUGUCUCUUAUAC
This 301-nucleotide ribosomal RNA is filed under the name uncultured bacterium. RNAcentral describes it as "partial 16S ribosomal RNA". It matches the Rfam family "Bacterial small subunit ribosomal RNA", at positions 509 to 807 of the family's 1533-position model. The record is from RNAcentral.